AUUGAACGCUGGCGGCAGGCCUAACACAUGCAAGUCGAGCGGAUGAAGGGAGCUUGCUCCUGGAUUCAGCGGCGGACGGGUGAGUAAUGCCUAGGAAUCUGCCUGGUAGUGGGGGAUAACGUCCGGAAACGGGCGCUAAUACCGCAUACGUCCUGAGGGAGAAAGUGGGGGAUCUUCGGACCUCACGCUAUCAGAUGUGCCUAGGUCGGAUUAGCUAGUUGGUGGGGUAAAGGCCUACCAAGGCGACGAUCCGUAACUGGUCUGAGAGGAUGAUCAGUCACACUGGAACUGAGACACGGUCCCGACUCCUACGGGAGGCAGCAGUGGGGAAUAUUGGACAAUGGGCGAAAGCCUGAUCCAGCCAUGCCGCGUGUGUGAAGAAGGUCUUCGGAUUGUAAAGCACUUUAAGUUGGGAGGAAGGGCAGUAAGUUAAUACCUUGCUGUUUUGACGUUACCAACAGAAUAAGCACCGGCUAACUUCGUG
This 484-nucleotide ribosomal RNA is filed under the name uncultured bacterium. RNAcentral describes it as "partial 16S ribosomal RNA". It matches the Rfam family "Bacterial small subunit ribosomal RNA", at positions 30 to 507 of the family's 1533-position model. The record is from RNAcentral.